RNAcentral lists this ribosomal RNA (497 nucleotides) under uncultured bacterium. Its description in RNAcentral is "partial 16S ribosomal RNA". It matches the Rfam family "Bacterial small subunit ribosomal RNA", at positions 28 to 507 of the family's 1533-position model. The record is from RNAcentral.
GAUGAACGCUGGCGGCGUGCCUAAUACAUGCAAGUCGAGCGAACGGACGAGAAGCUUGCUUCUCUGAUGUUAGCGGCGGACAGGUGAGUAACACGUGGAGAACCUACCUCUAAGACCGGGAUAACUUCGGGAAACCGGAGCUACUACCGGAUAAUAUUUUGAACCGCAUGGUUCAAAAGUGAAAGACGGUCUUGCUGUCACUUAUAGAUGGAUCCGCGCUGCAUUAGCUAGUUGGUAAGGUAACGGCAUACCAAGGCAACGAUGCAUAGCCGACCUGAGAGGGUGGUCGGCCACACUGGAGCUGAGGCACGGCCCAGACGCCUACGGGAGGCAGCAGUAGGGAAUCUUCCGCAAUGGGCGAAAGCCUGACGGAGCAACGCCGCGUGGUUGAUGAAGGUCUUCGGAUCGUAAAACUCUGUUAUUAGGGAAGAACAUAUGUGUAAGUAACUGUGCACAUCUUGACGGUACCUAAUCAGAAAGCCACGGCUAACUACGUG